RNAcentral lists this transfer RNA (72 nucleotides) under Bos taurus (domestic cattle). It matches the Rfam family "tRNA". Rfam says of the family: Transfer RNA (tRNA) molecules are approximately 80 nucleotides in length. Their secondary structure includes four short double-helical elements and three loops (D, anti-codon, and T loops). Further hydrogen bonds mediate the characteristic L-shaped molecular structure. tRNAs have two regions of fundamental functional importance: the anti-codon, which is responsible for specific mRNA codon recognition, and the 3' end, to which the tRNAs corresponding amino acid is attached (by aminoacyl-tRNA synthetases). tRNAs cope with the degeneracy of the genetic code in two manners: having more than one tRNA (with a specific anti-codon) for a particular amino acid; and 'wobble' base-pairing, i.e. permitting non-standard base-pairing at the 3rd anti-codon position. The record is from Rfam by way of RNAcentral. RNAcentral also lists the same sequence under 1 other name. Lineage: Eukaryota; Metazoa; Chordata; Mammalia; Artiodactyla; Bovidae.
UCCCUGGUAGCUCAGAAGGUAAAGAAUCUGCCUGCAACACAGGAGACCCAGGUUCAAUACCUGGGUUGGGAA